AACGAACGCUGACGGCAUGCCUAACACAUGCAAGUCGAACGAGACCUUCGGGUCUAGUGGCGCACGGGUGCGUAACGCGUGGGAAUCUGCCCUUGGGUUCGGAAUAACAGUUAGAAAUGACUGCUAAUACCGGAUAAUGUCUUCGGACCAAAGAUUUAUCGCCCAGGGAUGAGCCCGCGUAGGAUUAGCUAGUUGGUGAGGUAAAGGCUCACCAAGGCGACGAUCCUUAGCUGGUCUGAGAGGAUGAUCAGCCACACUGGGACUGAGACACGGCCCAGACUCCUACGGGAGGCAGCAGUGGGGAAUAUUGGACAAUGGGCGAAAGCCUGAUCCAGCAAUGCCGCGUGAGUGAUGAAGGCCUUAGGGUUGUAAAGCUCUUUUACCCGGGAUGAUAAUGACAGUACCGGGAGAAUAAGCCCGGCUAACUCCGUGCCAGCAGCCGCGGUAAU
Molecule: ribosomal RNA, 449 nt
Filed under: uncultured bacterium
Lineage: Bacteria
Description: bacterial SSU rRNA
Rfam family: Bacterial small subunit ribosomal RNA
Source: RNAcentral